RNAcentral lists this ribosomal RNA (467 nucleotides) under uncultured bacterium. Its description in RNAcentral is "partial 16S ribosomal RNA". It matches the Rfam family "Bacterial small subunit ribosomal RNA", at positions 28 to 507 of the family's 1533-position model. The record is from RNAcentral.
GACGAACGCUGGCGGCGUGCUUAACACAUGCAAGUCGAACGGAAAGGCCCUGCUUUUGUGGGGUGCUCGAGUGGCGAACGGGUGAGUAACACGUGAGUAACCUGCCCUUGACUUUGGGAUAACUUCAGGAAACUGGGGCUAAUACCGGAUAGGAGCUCCUGCUGCAUGUUGGGGGUUGGAAAGUUUCGGCGGUUGGGGAUGGACUCGCGGCUUAUCCGCUUGUUGGUGGGGUAGUGGCUUACCAAGGCUUUGACGGGUAGCCGGCCUGAUAGGGGUACCGGCAAAAUGGGAAGGGAGAUAGGGCCAAAAUGCUAACGGAAGGAAGAGGGGGGAAAAAUGGAACAAGGGCGGAAGCCUGAUGCAGCAACGCCGCGUGCGGGAUGACGGCCUUCGGGUUGUAAACCGCUUUCGCCUGUGACGAAGCGUGAGUGACGGUAAUGGGUAAAGAAGCACCGGCUAACUACGUG